This 394-nucleotide ribosomal RNA is filed under the name uncultured bacterium. RNAcentral's name for it is "partial 16S ribosomal RNA". It matches the Rfam family "Bacterial small subunit ribosomal RNA", at positions 338 to 729 of the family's 1533-position model. The record is from RNAcentral.
CCUACGGGAGGCAGCAGUGAGGAAUAUUGGUCAAUGGGAGAGAUCCUGAACCAGCCAAGCCGCGUGAGGGAAGACGGCCCUAUGGGUUGUAAACCUCUUUUGUCGGAGAACAAAACCCGGGACGUGUCCCGGACUGCGUGUAUCCGAAGAAAAAGCAUCGGCUAACUCCGUGCCAGCAGCCGCGGUAAUACGGAGGAUGCGAGCGUUAUCCGGAUUUAUUGGGUUUAAAGGGUGCGUAGGCGGUUCGUUAAGUCAGCGGUGAAAUUUCGGGGCUCAACCCUAUUAGUGCAUUUGAACCUGGCAGGCUUGAGUAGAGUAGAGGUACGCGGAAUGCGCGGUGUAGCGGUGAAAUGCAUAGAUAUCGCGAAGAACUCCGAUUGCGAAGGCAGCUUAC